UGUGCCCUGGGUGUUUGAGCUGCAACCUUCCUCCAUUCUAAAAACAAGAUUUUCUUCUAUAGACUUUGAGAUGCUAAUCUCACGCAUGAGAUCAUGGACUUGGCAAGAGUCAAUUCCUUUUCUACUAUUAACUGAUAGCUGAGAAGGUAGGAUCAUGCUCCUCUCUAUUAGUUCCAUGAAGUAGUUGUCAGCUACUUCUUCUGGGGACUUAUCUCGAAUCUCCCGUGAGUAACCUUCUGCACUCCACCGUCGUAUCAAACAUCUUCGACUAAUCUUGUGAUCUUCAGGGAAGACGGAUGUAUACAGGAAACAAGACUUAAGAUGAUAUGGUAGACCAUCGUAACUUUUACCGAGAAUUGUUUUUAUGGCCCCAACCUCUGGGUUCAUUUCCAAUUCAGCACUAAUAUGCUCAUUCAAUUUCCUCCACUCUACCGCUACUUUUGGUUGCUUUGCCAAGAAGCCUCUGAUGGUGACUAUUGCAAGGGGAAGUCCAUUGCACUUCUUCAAGAUCAUGUUUGCUUCUUUGAUCAAUUCAGGAUGCUUGUCCAAAUCUUUGUCCUCCUUAAAUACCUGAAAUCAGUAGUGCUUAUUAUGUUCUUUGAGAUUGAAAAUACGUACGAAUGGUCUAUGUAGUUUACUUAUUUAUUAGAAUGACUAUGGCACAAUUAUUAGUCUCAUGCCUAUUGAAGAAUAGAACUAUUAGUUAUGAUGUCCUUAUAUCGUAAUGAAAGAUAACACAAAUGGCAGCAGGAUUAUAUUGCAAUAUAGUAUACCUUUCUUGUGAAGAGGUCUUGUGCAUCCUUGCAUUCAAGAACUUUGAGCUUGUAUAUGUUUUUUUGUUUCUCUGAACAAUGUUUUGCUAUACUCUCUUCCCUUGUGGUCACUAUAAUCCGGCAUGAACUAUCUAAUUUAGGGAAGCUUCCAAAUAUAUUAUCCCAUUCUGCUAUUGAUGAAAGAUCAUCAAGAACAAUCAAGCACUUCCUCCCUUCAAGAAGCCUAGCUAACUCUUUUAUUAAUGCUUCAACUCCCAUCAUUAUUGGGGCUGUGUUUCUUGCACCAUGUGCAAAAUCUAUUGCUCCUUUCUUUUCAGAAGAUUGUACAUUUAGUUGCAUAAUUAAGCUCUUCAGGAACUCCUUAAGAAUGAAAGGGCGCAUCACUGUAACACAAGCAUGCUUCUCAAACACACCAACAUGCUUCUGACUUUCAUAAACAUCUUUGAUCAGAGUAGUUUUCCCAAGACCACCCAUUCCCUAUACUGAGAUCACUGCAAGCUCAUGAUUAGAUGGAUUUGAAAUGAGGUUGAUGAUAUCAGUUUUUUCUUUCUGCCGACCGAUAAGUUGUGAUUCCUCCAAAGCACUUGCCAUAGUUUUGAUGCGAGCAAGGCUUUUUGCAAAUACCUUUAUCUCAUUGCCACCUUGAGAUUGAUGUCCCAGUGUUACAUUAGUACUUAUUGAUUCAUCUGAGCUAGACACUACCAGUGGUAUUUUUAUUUGAUCUUGACAAUCCUAUGCAGAGGUAAACUUUAGUUAUCAGAAUUUUAAAUUUGUCGAUGUUUAAACAAUAUUUUGACUCAAAAAGGUAAAUUCUAGCAUAAAUGCAUAUAAAUUUAUGAUGGGCACAGAUAGAUUGCUUGGGUAAUUAAAAGAAACAAGAUAGAUUGAUUUGGCAAGAAUGGAAUUAUAACAUAUAGGGGAGGCUAGUAUCUAGCCCAAUUACAAAUGAGGUGUUUAGAUAGAACUAUAAUGUGCAAGAUUGUUAUUGGCCAAUAUAUAGAUUUUCUUUAACACUAAUAUUACUAACAAUAGAUUCUAUUUGGAUGAUCGAUGUUAAUUCUCACUAGACAUGCUAGAAAAAUAGAUAGAUCUUAGAAAAUCUCACAAAGAGCGAAACAUUCUACCAUCAAUUUUGUAGACUCAAUCGUUGUUGAUAACAAUAAGCAUAGGAUGUAAUUUACUUUAAAAAUGACCUACCUCUACCAUUACAAAGAUAAUAUCCAAAAUCUACACCUAAAAUCCCCACAUAUGCCAUUAUGAAUAAGAAUUUAAUCAUCCCCUAAAUCUCCAUACAAGUGACCAAUCACUGCUACUAUGAAAAUAAAGCAUAAGUAACCUCGCAAUUUGUAUCUAAAUUACCAAUACCCUCUGCCAUUAUGAAUAAGAAUUUAAAUAAGAUAAUAAAUUUGUGCCUAGAUUAUCCAUCAUUUCCAUUAUUAAAAAUAACUUAAAGUAAUGCUUAAAUCUACAUCUGAAUUGCACAUUUCUAUGAUUAUAAAGUAUAAUAACCCAAAGCAUGCCCUAUAAAUGCUUCUAAAAUGAUCAUUUGUAUCAUCAUUAAUAUGUGAAAAAACUAAAGUAUACACAUCCAUGAUGUUUACCACCAUAGAAACCAAGUAGCAAGCAUGUAGGGAUCAAUAGAUAACAUUUUGACUGACAACAUUAUAACAUCUACAAUGAUAGUUACAUUAUGACCACUCUAAUUAUUUUCUCCCUCAAGCUAUUCUUUUGAUCUAUUUUUGUAACAUAAGUUAUAAUGUCAUGUGUCGUCCCAAUUAAUAUGAACUUAAAACUCAACCGGUACAUGGAGAAACAAAAAAAAAAUCUCAUUAGGGGUAGCAUAGACCAAUUGAAAUAGUUUGGGGAGUACAUCUAGUUAUUCAAGGAACUAAGCGGACAUAGUGGAUUGCUUAGGGUAGUAAAAUAGACAUCUUCAUUUAGUAAAGUUUUUCUAUAAGAAAUGUUUACACCUCUAGACAUGCUGGUUGACAAUCUUGUUUAUUCCUUCCACUUCUAACAGUUAUGCUUCUUAUGCUACCAUGUAUAGGAGCAUGUACUUGUUGAUGGACUCGUCCUUAUGGACGAAAAUUGAUACAUUUUUUCCCGUGCCUAUAAAUAUGGUAAAAGAAUACUGGAUACAACAACCUGAAUCCUUGUAACUAUCUGAGAUAAAGAAAAAUAACAAGAGGUGACACUAAUUCGAUAAUUUCUGAAGGAUGAAUAGUACCUUCUCGUAGAAAGCAUAAAUAGUCUGAUGAGCGGAGAACUGCUAAAGCUCCAACGCUUGGCAUUCUUGCCCUGCACACAAGCUUGCAACUUCAAUUUGUAGGCUGCAAACUAUGAUUCGACUCCCUUUCUUGUGGUUCGGCGGCAGACAUGCUUUAACCCCAUUCCACUCUUCGAAGGUGGACAAGUUAUUAAGCACAAUCAGGAAACUAUUCUCGCUUAGGUAUCCAGAGAACUCCUCUGCCAAUUCUUUUCCUGUCUUCUUGGUCUCCAACAGAACAUCGACCCCCACGGCUGAUCGGAACUGCUUCACUAAGCUUUGGCUGAAGUCAUUCGGAUUGAAGGGAUGCGAGAUCCUUACCCAUGCCCGGCACGAAAACUUCUUUUUGAUAUGUGGAUUCUCGUAGGCAACGUUGAUGAUGGAUGUCUGCCCAAGAUCACCACUGGUUCCCCACACUGCGAUCACUCUAAGAUCCUCGCCCGGUGAUUCAGCACUUCGAGCAAGAUCAUCGAGGAGAGGCGGUGUUGAUUGAGCCCGGAGAUGGUGGAGAUGCUCUCUUGCGUCAAGGACUAGGAAGCUGCAGAAGCAAGACUUCAGAACAUCUUGGAGGAUCAAGAACUUGAGGAAAGUUUUGCUAAUUUGUAUCUAAAUGUCCCUGCUGAUUCAUAGGUGUAAAACUUGGCCUGUAAUAACUUGAACUACUAUAAUAUUGAUUUGAUUGAGCUAGGCUGUACUCUUUUUUCCUAUCUAGGGUUUCUCACGAGGUGUGAGUUUUACCUAAAUAGGUUUUUAAUGAAGCAGCCAUUGCACUAGCUCAAACUUGUAAUCCCUUGUUUCUUUCUGUGAUGUUGAUCUGUGUUGUGAACUUAAAGUUGAUGAGAUAACUUCAAAUCUGUUUUGUGAAGUUAAGGUUGAAAUCUGUGUUGUGAAGUUGAAGUUAGUAUUUAAUCUAUUGAUAUGUUGAAAUCUUGUUUAUCUCAUGAUUUUGUUUAUCUAAUGAUCUGUUGAAGUUGAAAUAUAUUAAUCUGUUGAUCUGUUGAAAUAACUUGAAGAUGAAAUCUUGGUUUGUUUGAAUGGUCAUUGAUCUUUAGUGCCUGACCUGGCACUAGCACGACAGUACCCGUCGUGCCAGCAGGCCGGCUCGACCCAAUAAAAAGGCCAUCGGGCUGGGCCUAGGCCACCUCCUCAGCACGCAGUGCUAGCCCAGCCCGGCACGAAAAACCUUCAGGCCUAUUAGUGCUGGGCCAGACCGGGCUAGGGCUAGGCAACCAUCUAUAUCUGAAGCUGCUCUCGUGGUGAAAUGUGCAGCACCAAUAGCCCAACACAGACACCCCUCCUCUGCACACUCAAAAGCUCCCGCUGCUUGCGUGGUGCCGUGGUGACCUUGGAAAGGGAAUCGAUAUGGAAAACCAAAACACAGUGGUGAAACGUAUCAUGUAAAUAAAACUCUUUAUUGCAUUAAAAAAAUACGGUGCUGAAACUGAACCGGGCCGGAACAACAACGAGGCAAGCUGAACCGUGCGUGGUUCUAUAUUUUCACAUGCAUGUUGUUCCACGUUGGCUCCACCGCAAUGUGGUCAUUCUCUCUGGUUUUAUAGGAACAAGCAAUGCCUAUGCAGGGGUUGCUGGCCUGUGCCUGAUCACCGUGGAGCCGCUGCCCCUGGUGCCAGUGGACAAGCUAAAAUACUACUCCAGCGAAGCACGAAAAAUUGUGUGGCCUGCAAUGGAGUACCGUGCAUUUCCUCUAUUGAUAAUGGCAGGGACGCAAGGGAGCUGCAACAUCACUUGCAAAGAAAAAUGAUGGCAAACCAACUCAAGCAUACACAACCAGCGACCCUGCAGAUCAUUGUGGUGAACGUUCAUACAAAUGACCUGUACAGUUAUUCAUAUAUAGUCCACACCAGUCUUUGUAGCCCAAUUACUGAACUGAAGAACAUUAUUUCACUUCUAUCAGGCGAUGCAUGAUGGAAGAGCACGCUAGUUAUUCUUAUUUGGCACAACCACAUAAGCAAAAAAAAGGAAUACGAACGUACAGACGAACAAAACAAAAACAGAUGAUUCAGAGACGCUGCACUAGGCCCACGGGAUACUAACACGAUCGACCUUAGCUGCAUGCGUCAAAAAGAAAUACAUCAGCAGUAGGACUGGAGAUUAAUUUUACACACACAUCAAUUGUUCAGAUGCACAAAGAGGGUAACAGGGAAGCAGCAAGAGCAAUGACCUGGCACGACGAUCGGCUGACUUUGCAGCACCUCACCACCUCUUCAAAGCGGGUCCAUUUGGAUUGGCACCAAGCUGGCCCUGCAGGUCUUCCAUGAAAGUGUGCUCAUAAGUUUUGCUGUCCAGCAUAAAUUCCUUGAGGCUCCGGAGCAAUGGUAGCCCGGAAAACAUCCCUGUGUUGGUUUCUUCAAGCUUGCCACGAAAAUCUAGCCGCUCAAGCCGAAGCAUUGCCCCUUCUUCAAACUCCACCGAUUUCAGGCCAUCUAUGUCAUUUAGCUCCAGCACUAUCAGACUCGGGAAUGCCUCCGGAUGGAAGGUGAAACGGAGGUUGUCAACCUGGAACGACUUCGCCCACAGACGUAAGCUGACCAGGUUCGGUAGCUUCCCAAGAACUUGGAGUGCAGGUUCGUGCUCCAGUAUUCUAGAGCUCCUUAGAAUCAACUUCACAAGAUUCUUGAGCCCCUCGACCCAUCCUGGCAAUUUGAGCAGAUUGCCGUAUACCUUGAGGCUUUGCAGGUUUUUCGGAGCGGAGGUCAAGCUAUCUAAGCAGCCAUGCAAACCUGGCAUCCCACGUGCCUGCACUAGCAAAUAUUCCAGGCAGCUGAGAUUGGCAACGACUGAACACAAUUCCUGGCCAUUUUCCUUGUUGAUGCCAGUCACAGCUAACUUGCGCAACUGGGUCAGUCUUUUUAUGUCGAGUAGAUUUGCCUUGUCCCAUGCGAGAUUCACAACACUCAAUGUGCGCAGGGAUUUUAGUUUCCCUAUCCCUCUUGGCAUCCAAGUUGGACCUUCUUUCGCCAUCAGAACAGGGAGCAUGACGCAGCAACACUGAGUGCAUACAUCACACCUAUUCAUGUCACCAUCCACAUCCAUAACCUCUUUAAUAAAUUGAGGUGCGCAACAUGCCACGCAAAAUCCUAGCAACCAACCCAUACAAAUGCAUGGCCUGUUAUUCACUACUUUUGGCAGUUCUUCAAGCGAUAAUGAAUUAUCAUGCGCUCCAACAGCCCCAGCACGAAGAUAUUGUAGCUUCUUGAGCUUGGUGAUGGUCUUGGGCAGCUUUAAAAUCGAUGUCUGUGAAAUAUCUAGUGUUUCUAGUUGCUUUAGAUUACCCAACGAAUCUGGCAAGUGAAAAAUAUCAGCACAUCUUCUUAGAGAGAGGUAUCUGAGGUGAAGAAGCUUCCCAAUAUGCUCUAGGUGAUGACUAACCAGACCUGACGUGCCUUCCAAGUCCAGCACACGCAAGAACCUCAUCUUGUCAGAAAUGAAAAAGGACCUCCACUUCCCAAACACUGUUAAUGAGCGUAUGCGGGACAGAUCCACUUUGUUCUCAAACUCACUCUUAUCUGCUUCCCAGUUGGUGCUUAUGACAAGGUGGCGAACUGUGCCCUGGGUGUUUGAGCUGCAACCUUCCUCCAUUCUAAAAACGAGAUUCUCUUCUGUUGACUUUGAGAUGCUAAUCUCACGCAUGAGAUCAUGAACUUGGCAAGAGUCAAUUCCUUUUCUACUAUUAACUGAUAGCUGAGAAGGUAGGAUCAUGCUCCUCUCUAUUAGUUCCAUGAAGUAGUUGUCAGCUACUUCUUCUGGGGACUUAUCUCGAAUCUCCC
Molecule: long non-coding RNA, 6827 nt
Filed under: Setaria italica (foxtail millet)
Lineage: Eukaryota; Viridiplantae; Streptophyta; Magnoliopsida; Poales; Poaceae
Description: long non-coding RNA (SITA_LNC004841)
Source: RNAcentral